GAUGAACGCUGGCGGCGUGCCUAAUACAUGCAAGUCGAGCGAACAGACGAGGAGCUUGCUCCUCUGACGUUAGCGGCGGACGGGUGAGUAACACGUGGAUAACCUACCUAUAAGACUGGGAUAACUUCGGGAAACCGGAGCUAAUACCGGAUAAUAUAUUGAACCGCAUGGUUCAAUAGUGAAAGACGGUUUUGCUGUCACUUAUAGAUGGAUCCGCGCCGCAUUAGCUAGUUGGUAAGGUAACGGCUUACCAAGGCAACGAUGCGUAGCCGACCUGAGAGGGUGAUCGGCCACAAUGGAACUGAGACACGGUCCAGACUCCUACGGGAGGCAGCAGUAGGGAAUCUUCCGCAAUGGGCGAAAGCCUGACGGAGCAACGACGCGUGAGUGAUGAAGGUCUUCGGAUCGUAAAACUCUGUUAUUAGGGAAGAACAAAUGUGUAAGUAACUAUGCACGUCUUGACGGUACCUAAUCAGAAAGCCACGGCUAACUACGUG
RNAcentral lists this ribosomal RNA (497 nucleotides) under uncultured bacterium. Its description in RNAcentral is "partial 16S ribosomal RNA". It matches the Rfam family "Bacterial small subunit ribosomal RNA", at positions 28 to 507 of the family's 1533-position model. The record is from RNAcentral.